AAGGAAUAUUCGAGUCAAGAGUCCAAUGCAGCCAAGGAAGCAUUGGUUGUAAAGAGUAGGUAUAUAGAAUUUGAACAUCAAGUAUGAGCAUAUAAAAGUUGAACAUGGAACGAAGUGAGGUUUACAACCCACGGGAAACGGUAAUCUCAAAGGGACAAGUCCCAAUGGUGUGAUUGCAAGCUUUCACUACUUCGGGGCAAUCCCCAUACAGUUCACUAUCUCAGGGCAAGCCCUAUACAAGAAAACUUGCAUAAGUACUCCGGUCGUAGUUGAUGGUGUUGUAGUAGUGUACUUGGGAUAUUAUGACUGAAGCUCGCAGCGACAGUUGUAAUUGUUGGAUCAUGGGUUGUCCACUAUUUUAUAGGUUUGAUAUAUGGCUCGUGUCGCCUGUGACACUUAUAUUGUCGAGCCAUCCCUUUGUGUUGUAAUUAUUAUUCUUACAAGCUUUAAACAAAUAGAUGUCA
Long non-coding RNA from Alnus glutinosa, 464 nucleotides. RefSeq lists it as uncharacterized. Lineage: Eukaryota; Viridiplantae; Streptophyta; Magnoliopsida; Fagales; Betulaceae. The transcript has 3 exons. The record is from RefSeq and is a predicted model, not a curated record.